UUAGAGCUCUGUCUUUGUCUCAUGGUAUCACUGAUGGAACAGCUGUUUCAAAUUAAAAGACAUACUACACUUGAAGGGACUUACCUCUUUGCACAAACCAUGGAGCAGAAUCUUUUGGACCCUUUAAACGUGUAGGCGAAGUCCACCCAGCCACAGUAUUCACACGUCAGCUUUGGUUCCUGCUCUUUUUCUGUGAAGAGGACAAGAGACAAACUACAGGUGGCUGUACUGGUCUGUAGUUAAAUGCACCAGUAGCAGAUCUACAGUACUAUCAAUCAUCUCGUAUUCCUAAGGCUGGCUCCCACCAUUAACCGCGUGGACACAGACACAGAGGUUGAGGACUUUUACAAGACUAACCUCACCUUUGGAUUCAAAGCAGACAGACUGGUAAGUCGCUGUUUGCUGCGUUGCUGACUGGGGUUUUGUCGGGGUCUGACGAGAGCUGAUGAUCCAGCUUCUUCGGGCUGUCGAUGAGAAUGGGCAGACGCUCCACCUGAUAAAAGGAACAAGAUGAUUUAAUGUUGGACAAAAUGAAAGUUGAUGGCCGUGAGCUGGACGGGCUGAGCUUUGGCAUGGUUGAGGGAGGAGUGGAGUGCGUGGGGGCUGAUGGUGGAGUGGAAGAUGGUGGCGUGCUGGCUGGGCGUGGAGGGCUGGUUUGGAGCCGGUUUGGGCAGCACAGGGACGGGGUGCUGUGAGGGUUGAAUGGAGGCGGUCUGCAGCAGCUGCCCCACUGCCCUCUGGGAAGCUUGACUCUGAUGGACCACAAACUGCUGCUGCUGCUGCUUGUGCUGCUGAACCAGUGAGUGAGGCUGAAUCUGCGUGUAUGCUGGAACGAGAACAACGGACACAUUUAUUUUAAACAUUUAUGAAUUCAGCUAACUAACUGCUCUGCACACCACCCACAGAGGCUUGUGUUGUGUCCUAAAUUCACCAGCCGCUGACUGCAAAAAGGAAUCUUAAAAUAAAAGGCCCUGAACGUUUUAA
Notolabrus celidotus (New Zealand spotty) is the source of this 984-nucleotide long non-coding RNA. RefSeq lists it as uncharacterized. NCBI's taxonomy places the organism in Eukaryota, Metazoa, Chordata, Actinopteri, Labriformes, Labridae. The transcript is spliced from 5 exons. The record is from RefSeq and is a predicted model, not a curated record.